This 418-nucleotide ribosomal RNA is filed under the name uncultured bacterium. RNAcentral describes it as "bacterial SSU rRNA". It matches the Rfam family "Bacterial small subunit ribosomal RNA", at positions 355 to 775 of the family's 1533-position model. The record is from RNAcentral.
UUAGGAAUCUUCCACAAUGGGCGCAAGCCUGAUGGAGCGACGCCGCGUGAGGGAUGAAGGUUUUCGGAUCGUAAACCUCUGAAUCAGGGACGAAAGACCAGCUUGACUGGAGAUGACGGUACCUGAGUAAUAGCACCGGCUAACUCCGUGCCAGCAGCCGCGGUAAUACGGAGGGUGCAAGCGUUACCCGGAAUCACUGGGCGUAAAGGGCGUGUAGGCGGCUGAGUCAGUCCGACUUUAAAGACCGAAGCUCAACUUCGGGCCUGGGUUGGAUACUGCUGAGCUAGACGGAUGGAGAGGUCACUGGAAUUCCUGGUGUAGCGGUGGAAUGCGUAGAUACCAGGAGGAACACCAACGGCGAAGGCAGGUGACUGGACAUUUUGUGACGCUGAGGCGCGAAAGUGUGGGGAGCAAACCG